GGGGAGUAGGGUAUUGACAAAUUCAUGAUGUUUUUAUUUUUUUAUUUUAAGCUUAAUCCAACCUGAUUCUUUUCAUACUUUUGUUUAUUAAAAUCUUUUUUUGGUGCUAUAUUUUAUACAUAGUAGUAGAAAACAUUGUACAAGUUUAUUAGUAAGUUUAUGUUUUUGUUAUUUAAUUUUAAAAAGUUAUAAAAUAGUCA
Molecule: long non-coding RNA, 200 nt
Filed under: Gossypium raimondii (Peruvian cotton)
Lineage: Eukaryota; Viridiplantae; Streptophyta; Magnoliopsida; Malvales; Malvaceae
Description: long non-coding RNA (GRAI_LNC003440)
Source: RNAcentral